This 7186-nucleotide long non-coding RNA is filed under the name Homo sapiens (human). RNAcentral describes it as "non-protein coding lnc-IRF2BP2-2:9". Lineage: Eukaryota; Metazoa; Chordata; Mammalia; Primates; Hominidae. The record is from RNAcentral.
ACACAUCUCUACUCCCACUCACUUCCUGUAGCCUCCCCCUCGCCUCUGACUUUCUUUAAAUGCAAUGUUUUAGGUCAUUCUUCUUGUCCAGCUUCUCUGUUAAAUUAAAAACACCCUAGUGCUUGUACAUUUAGCUGAAUCAAGCCAGACGCUGUAUUUUAUUUUUAUAACUGAAUUCCUGUGAGAUAAAAAUCUCAUUUUCCUUAGUAGGCUGUAAUCAGCACUCACAGGGAUGUGGUUUCCAACUGCCCCAGCUCGUGCUUCCUUAUGAAGCUCCGCUGAGAAAUGAACUUGGCUCCUGUUCAGGUUUAAAGGGCCCGAGGCCGGUCACACAUUGCUCACUCAUACACACACACACACACACACACACACACACACACACACAGAGGAUGUGCACACAAAGACCAUUAUACAUGUAUGCACACACACAUGGACACACGUUCUUGUCCAGGGAAGCCCCUACGGUUCCACACACGAAGAGCAAAAAAGUAUUCCCUGAGACAGACAGACACACAAUCAGUACCCAGUGUCAUUCUUCCCCUUUCCAGGAGGAAAAUAGGUGAAUAAGUCAAGCUGAAAGCUGCUUCCGAAAAGACUGUUUUAAACUAGCAGGCAGGCCAGCGUUAUGCAACUCAUGGCUAGGUUCAUUAAAGGAAUCGAGGUUUGCCGACUGCACAAAUGUUCCCCUGCCUGCCUCCGCCCCAGCCCCUCCACCCCACCCUGCUCUGAUUCAUGAACUAGUUUUCAGAUUCAUGAAUCACUCGGGAGCCAGCAAGAGAAAAAUGAGUAGUAUUGAUCUCAUUUCAAUUGAAAUGGGCUCAUUAAGGCCAUGCUGGCUGUGGACGGCCUUGCACGACAAGACGCUGGCCGGCGUCCGAGGUCUGCAGGCGGGCGCCCGAGCCUGCGGGUGGGACAGGACUCCUUGGGUGAAGCCUCCGCGGAGGGUGCCCCUUCUUAUUAUUAUUAAAUGGACACAAUAUGAUCUACUGGUACAAGGGACUCUGGCUGCACUCCGCAGCCCUCGUUGGGCAGGCCGGUUUUCUUCUUUUUGUGUGGCCCGUUUAUUUUGUUAUUUUUUUUCACAGUUAAUGGAAUCUCAGUGCAGUUUCGCUCCUGGAUUUCUGGUGACUCUUAAGGACUACCUGAAGUAGGAAUUCACCUUCUGAAACAACUGGCAUAUCUUGGGGUUUGUUUGUUUUAACGCAAACAAGGAGCUUUUUACUCUUCUCCCUCCAGACCUCUGCCUUGCCACCCUCCUUGUACCGUCUUCAGCGAGAAGGACUAGGGGCUAGGAACCAUCUAGACUUGGAGUAAUCUAAUUUAUGUGGGGAAAAUUUCUCCACCAACUGGAUGGCUGCCUUCACGUGGACACCGGUUUUAUAAAACCACUCUUUCCCUUCCCAAAUGAGAAUAAUGGUUGAGGAAGCAGCAACAGAGCCUGGGUGCAGAGACAUCACAGAGGGAGGCGUUAGGCCCCUGGGGCAGAUGUCGCAGAGGCCGCCCACGAAGGAGCUCUCUUCUCUCCCACUGCCUUUCCUCUCCCCACUUGAGUUCCAGCUCCCUCUUGACACGAGCUCCCCUCCCCUUUCCAGCCCUUCGCCUUACACUUGUCCUCAUGUCUGGGGAAUCUUUUCCUCUUCCUCUCUACAACACCGGUUGGGCACCGUGUGUGAGCAGAUCAGGAGAGGCUAUUAGCUUUGAUUUGCAGCUUCCAAAUGGAUUUUUGCAUGGUUUCUUCCUCCAGCUCCUUCCACCCCCACGCCAGCCCUGGGAGAUUAAAAACAAUGGACUGGACACAUGCUUUUCAGAAAACCCAAAAAGCUGUCAACCAACACCACAGAAGGAUUCCAUCCUAAGAGGCAUACUUUUGGAUCCAAGAGUUUAGAAAUGAGAUUCUUAUCCAUUGACUUCAGAGACACCGUCAUGCAUUAGACGCAUUUCCCUUGGCAGGGAUUCGACGAAGUGACCUUACUCCCCUUUGUUCCUGCAGUGCCCGGAGAAACUGGGAAUGACCCAAAGAAGGAAAAGGAAGGCCAAGGGUAACGUCGUUGCCUGAGAAGCACUGGAGGAGAGGCAGGAACACAGAUUUGUCGAGAGCACUUACAUGUGUGCACACACCGUAACAAAGGGCAGGCUUGUUGUACGGCCACAUCACGGAGCCAGGGGACGUGCCUCGGGAAGAUGAAAUAACGCUACAUCCUCUGCCUGAAGUGACGGUCUCAGCCAGCCCAUGAGCCUUGACAGCGCAUUGUUGGAGUUUGGAAUCAACUGCCGCCUUUUCAUGGAUAACUUCCUGAAUCUGCAGUUAAAAUUUCAUUUUUUUCUGGGUGCCCCGAGUAAAACACCCUCUGUUAAAGAUUUAUCACUUCCGCUGUAUUUCAGCUGCCUGUGGGCAUCCCUCAAUGCCCCAGUGCUGAACAGACUGUCACACCGAAGGUGCUCACGGGCCUGCCGGACGAUUGAAGUUGUACAACCUGCAGACAGAGGAGCUAAGUGUCCACACGGCCCUCCCUGCUCUUUCCAUUCUAUGUAGCUAUCUUGCUGGCACCAUUUACUCCUUUCUUUCUUUCUUUUUUUUUCUUUUCUUGAGACAGAGUCUCUAGCUGUCGCCAGGCUGGAGUGCAAUAAUGGCAUGAUCUCGGCUCACUGCAACCUCUGCCUCCCGGGUUCAAGUGAUUCUCCUGCCUCAGCCUCCCGAGUAGCUGGGAUUACAGGCAUGCGCUACCACGCCCAGCUAGUUUUUCUAUUUUUAGUAGAAACAGGGUUUCACUAUGUUCACCCGGAUGGUCUCGAUCUGUUGACCUCGUGACCCGCCUGCCUCAGCCUUCCAAAGUGCUGGGAUUACAGACGUGAGCCAUGGUGCCCAGCCACUCCUUUCUUACUCCUUUUUAGUCCAGUGAAAUCUAGCUAGCUUCUCCCUUACCCGUAAUUGUUUCAUUGUAACUUAUUCUUGCUGAGAUUACUAGAGCUAUAUUUAGACCUCCUAAAUAGUAUCAUCCACUGCCUACAGUCCUUUGGACUGUAUUCAGUUCGUGUGACCCCUCCCUCGCAUGGAAACUCUCUCUUGCCUUAGUUUUUAUGGCAUGACAGCCUUAUGCUUGCCUUCCUGUCGCAGAGCUCGUGUAUCCAGCAAUUAUCGGUGCUCCCAAGGUUCCUUGUUCUUCCCCCUUCAGAGGUCUGUGCUCCUCAACAACUCUGACCCAGCCGUGGUUCCAACAACCAUGCCAAUGUGAAGGACCCUAGAUUUCCAUCUCCAGCAAGGACCUCUUUCCAGAGUGUUGGAUGGGUAUUCCCAUUAACCUACUAGACAGCUGCAUGUGGAUCUCUCAGAGCCCCUUUAAACUCAGAUCAUCUUCCCACCAAAAUCUGUCCUCCCCUCAACUCAGGACAAAGACCUCACUGUAGGAGAACAAAGGAAGUGGAAAUCUAACAGGUGGCAGUUCACCUACAAAACCUUAGUGUCAUGCAAGAGGGCUGUCCUGUGCGGUCAUUCUCAGUAUUGAGCCAAUGUAAUGAAGAAGCGUGUAGUGUGUGGUGGGCAUUUUCCAUUAUGUUUUGGUGGCCCCACAUGGCUGGACUUCCCAGGAGCUUCCCAGAGCUCCUGCUUUGGUUAAUGGUGAGCAUUUAGGCCAGACGGCCUUGCAAAUAUCUUUCCUACAUGGGACACACUGUUGCAGCCUUGCUCUAAGGCAUAGCCUGCCUUUUUUUUUUUUUUUGGUAUGAUAAAAGAAAUAUAGAAUAUUAAUAUAUUCUCCCUGGCUUUCAAAGAUUCCCAGUGCAUUUUUCUAAUACAGCAGCUAUUUACAUUAUAUUUUCUUCUUGAUUCAUCAUUUUUGAAUGAGGCCUUGUGGGUUUGAGGGCUGGUGAGAAAUAGUGCCGGGGAGAGGGUGAGGAAGAUUGCUUUAGAUGAGAGGCACGACUGUAAAUCUUGAAGUAAAAUUAUCUUUGUGAACUAAACGGUACCUGAAUUUUAUUCAAAUGAAAAGCUGGGCAAUUGAGUGUGAUUUAAAAUGAUCACUGUUCUAUACUUCAAAUGCACUGAAACAGGUUUAUUUUGCAAUAACCUGGAGAACAUAUGCAAAUUGAAGUUAUAUUGUUUAAUCUGAAGAAGUGAAGGCUGACUGAAUAAUCGGACUGCAAGGAUAUGAAGUAUUAUGUUGAGGAUAUAUACCACGAUUUACCAUUAAAUAGUACACAAAAUUAAAAUGGACUUAAAAUGCUCAGGAAAUAUGUAUUGUUAGAUAAUAGAAAAGUUAAAAUUUCUAAAAAUAGCUAAUGCUUCAUGGAUUUUUAAAGUUUUGUUUUGUUUUGUUUUUUUGUUUUUGAGAUAGGGAGAAGAUACUAGGGGAAAAAAGCAGAUGGAAAACUUCCUUGUGGUUUUUCUGUAGUAGCUUAGAGUCUGUUCUAAGGAGCAGAGAUUUCAGAGUAUGGUCUUGGAAACCUUUGUGUUCUUUGUUUCUUGUAGACGCCACACGCCUCUGUCCCCUGGCCACAGAGGCUGAUUUUGCUGUAUCUGACAUGGGUUUCUUGACCUGCUGGGAAGGCCCAAUGUCUAAUUUCCUGGUCUGCACCCUGCAGAAACCAGUGGAAAUUAAGCAGCGAUCGAUUAUCCUACCCCAUCACACCUUUCCUAGAUCAGAUGAUGCUGGCUGAGGCUUUGAAGUAUUGACAACACACUCUUUUUUCUUUUUACACCUUUUCUUCAGAGGACCUGACUCAUUCCCUGUAAAGGGAGGAAUCACUGCAGAGACACCCCCUGUAGCCACACUGCACCCUUGCAGGGGCUGGGGGACGAGAAGCAGGAUGUUGGUAGUGGUGUUGUUACCUCUCAUGACACGAAUCAGGCCCUUCCACCAUACACUUCAUUGAGGGGAUUCUGAAAUGGGGUCCUAAGGUUGCUCUGCUCUGAGAUGGAGCGUGGAGCACCGCCUCGCACUGUUGCUCUGGGGUUUGUCUUUUGCCUGGGUCUAGCUUAGCAAGGGCAAUGGCAAGAAGGGGUUUGGGAGUCAGGAGACUAUUAAUUCCAAGGGCCAAGGAUUGGCACAUCUUGGAAUAUUCCAGAAGUGUCCGCUCAGAUGGCAAAUAUGGGGACAACGUUACCGGCCCUCCUUCCAGCAAGGAGGCUAAUAUAGACCCACUCACUGCUACCAACCACCAACUCUUGACCCUUGGAAUGAAACAGUCUGUUAACUCCCAAACCCCUUCUUGCCAUUGCCCUUGCUAAGCUAGACCCAGGCAAACGACAGGCCCCAGAGCGACGCUGCAAGGCAGUGCUUCGCGCCACUUUCAUCAGGGAGGUGCCUGUGAGAUUCUGCCUCGUCCCCAUGACCUAGUUCAUGCCCUCGAUAUGCCGGUGAGAUGUGCAGGAGCUUCCUGAAGGGCCGCAUCAUCCAGCCUUUAUUUUUGUACCUCUGUAUGAGUUUUUCUCAACUCCUGCUGUCCAGUAGCCUCACUUAGGGAACCUGUAAAUAAUACCUAUGCUUGGGCCCCACCCAAGACCCAUUAAACUGGAUUAUCUGGGGAGGAAACCUGGCAGUGGUGCUUUUUAAAAAGCUCCCCAGAUGACUUUAGUGUGCAGCCUGGAUUGAGAAUUGCUGGAUCAAUUGCUGGGGGAAGAGAGAGUUCUGUGCCAGCAUAUGAGUGGGUUUUCAUAACACUAAGGAGCCUUACUGUGUGUAGGUGAUACCUACACUUCAACCAGGAGUUCUGACAGAUCAAGGACUAUUGCCCUACCAGCUGGGGAGUGACACGAGAGAGGCAUGGGCAAGGAACCAGUACAGGGAGCCCACUUACCUGGGAGAGCUGUACAAAGUUCACUGCAAAGGGUGAAACCUGAAUUGUUUGCAUUAUGCGUGGGUCUUUGGCAGAUAGAGAUGGGGAGACAGGACAUUUCCGCAGAAAGGACAAUGUGCAGGCGUGAUGCAGCAUGAUUUUUCAGGGGGACCAGAAGGUAAGUGUCAAAAAAGCAGACUCUGGGGCGUCCUUGUCCCUUUCCAGGAGCUGAGACCUGAGCUAGACACCACUGGGAUGUGUCUGGAAGGAAUGAACUGGUGGACACGGAAGCAUUGUCUUCUCAAGGGUGCAGGGUGUGCCUGGAGAUGAGGCUGGAGACAGCAGGAGCCCUGCCAUGGAUGGAAUUCUGCACCACGUUAAUUGGACUUUACCCAGUAAGCUAGAAGUUCUCACCUGGUUCAAGGAUGAGGACCUAUAUUUAAUAAGAAAAAACAAAAUUAUUUCAGACCGUCUUGUAGUAGUAGUAGUAGUUGUCAUGGUACUUUAAGAACCAUUGAAUCAGAAAAUGCAUAUAGACUAACAAAUGACUCAAAAUUUAAUGAUUUUUUAGUGGAUUUUUUUUUUUGUUUUUUGAGACGGAGUCUCACUCAGCUGCCCAGGCUGGAGUGCACUGGUGUGAUCUUGGCUCACUGUAACCUCCGUCCCUCCGGGUUCAAGCAAUUCUCCUGCCUCAGCCUCCCAAGUAGCUGGGAGUACAGGCACGUGCCACCACACCCAGCUGAUUUUUGUAUUUUUAGUAGAGACGGGGUUUCACCAUGUUGGCCUGGCUGGUCUCGAUCUCUUGACCUCGUGAUCCACCUGCCUCAGCCUCCCAAAGUGCUGGGAUUACAGGCAUGAGCCACCACGCCCAGUCUAGUGGAUUUUAAUUUUGAUCACAACAGCAAGGUAUAGGUACUGUAUCUGUUUACAACAUCAAAGGUUAAGAAAUGUUUACCUUUUCUUAUCUUUCUAACAUAAAUCAUGACUGUUUUGAGCUCCUGAUAGUAGAUUAGAGUCUUUCUUAGGCCAGGUGUGGUGGCUCACAUCUAUAAUCCCAGCACUUUGGGAUCAGGCCUAGGCAGGAGGACCGCUUAAGGCCGAGAGUUUGUGACCAGCCUGGGCAACAUAGUGCGAUACCACCUCUAAAGAAAUAAAAAAUUAGCCAGGUGUGGUAGUUCAUGUCUAUAGUCCUAGCUACUUGGGAGGCUGAGAUGGGAGAAGCCCUGUAGCCCAGGAGUUUGAGGCUGCAGUGAGCUAUGAUUGCACCACUGCACUCCAGCCUGGGAGACAGAGUGAGACUUCAUCUCAAAAAAAAAAAAAAAGGAAUAUUCAGUAACAUUUAUUGGUGGUGCUGUUCACUGUGCUUGACACUUUAUUGCCUUAGCAUUUCACUCUCACCACCACCUUAUGAAGU